UACAUGUGGGGCAAGCGUUGUUCGGAAUUACUGGGCAUAAAGGGUGUGUAGGCGGUUUGUUUAGUCACUGGUGAAAGUUUUCGGCCCAACCGGAAAAUUGCCUGUGAUACUGGCGAACUUGAGUGCGUGAGGGGUGGGGGGAACGAGCAGUGUAGCGGUGAAAUGCGUAGAUAUUGCUCGGAAGGCCGGAGCCGAAGGGGCCCCACUGGUACGUAACUGACGCUGAGGCACGAAAGCGUGGGGAGCAAACAGG
Molecule: ribosomal RNA, 253 nt
Filed under: uncultured bacterium
Lineage: Bacteria
Description: partial 16S ribosomal RNA
Rfam family: Bacterial small subunit ribosomal RNA
Source: RNAcentral